GGCUGUUUCUGAGACCUGCCUGCUCAGGAGGUGCCUGGCUUCGCUUUCAGUUGCUGAGGUUUGGGUGUUUAGGUUGUACUCGGACCAGAGUUUCCAAGCUUGUCUUGCUCAUCAUGAAGAAUAGCAGAAGACACUGCUGUAGCUGCAUGGCUAAAAGGAUUUGAGAACAAAGUAGAGAGGAGACUUUUCUACUAGGACUACAUCACUUCUGGAGAAAAGCACUUGAGAGAAGAGGCUCAUCUGCAUCAAUCCCAUGUGUGUUCUAUUGGGCUGAGUAGAGAUACCAUAUCCUGCUUAGCUGAAAGAGAUAAGAGCACUGUUCCUCCUGUUACAUUUAUCAUACCUCUCUAUCAUGUUCCAUGAAUGCAGUAGUGAAAAUGCUUUUGGUUCCUAGCUUAUUAGUAUUUGCAGCAGCAGAAACAAGUACAUCUUGGAAGUGCAUAGCAUUCCCAGAGGAUUUUUAGAUAAAAUUGUUGUGAGGAUAUGUACAUGCUGUUCUAUAGUAACCACCCAUAAUUCCUCCUCAGCCAUCUGUCAACUAAUUUGCAGAUAGAUCCUGAAGCACUUGCUAGAGAUUAGGGGAAGAUUGAGAGGAAAGUGUUAGAUGUAGGCCUAUCUCCUGCCCAGUGAGCCUUUGAAAACUGUGUGUAGUGUCCAAGGUCAGAGCAAAGGUGACUUUGGCAGGCAGCUAUCCAUAUCCACCUCCUAUGGAAAUUCAUAACCUUAAGGUGAAGCUUUGGUGUCUUUGUGCUGAUCUCUUAGGAGGCUUGUUUGUGAGCCUCAGUUUUCACUGCUAGAUUUAAUAUAGGAACUAGAAGCUAUAGCUGGUUUAUGGAUGUUAACUACAGGACAACAUUGCUCUAAGAAUAGUUUUGGUGAUUCAGACCAAGCUAUUUAGGACCAGUGUGAAAGACUAGCAUCCUUUAAUCUGCAUGUCAGUACUGAAUGUGCAGAGAUGGUAUUUAGGCAAAGUCAUGGAAGAGGGGAAAAAAAAAAAAUCAUGUAAGCCUUUAAUAUUCACAACCUUUUAUGGCAAUACGUUUCAGUGAAGUUAUAGAUAGUGUCAAAAAAUGCUUUCUGAAUUUUUAAACCUUCUGUGAUAAUAGGAAAAAAUAAAAGACAUGCAGUGAAAUUAUAAAAACUGGUUGUGCCUUGUUGAAGCUGUUCAUGGUGCUACAUUCUCAUAUCCUCUUUUCUCCAGAUGGCAUGUUCCUAGACUAUAAUCCAGCCUCAUACAGGAAUUGAUACAUGUCUUUCAUCCUUGUUGCUUGUCCAUUACCGACUUAGUUCCAUUAUACUCAUUUUGAAAUAAGGAGAACUGGAAAGGCUGAGGAUAAGAUUUGCUCCAUGAAUUUAUACAGAAAACAUUAAUAUGUGAUUUUGUUUUCUGUUGUUCUCUAUUCCUCACAGCAUUUUUCAGAUCACUUCUGAAUACUUUGAAUAGUACAUGUUGCAACACAGGUCCAUCUGGGACCACACUAGUAAACUUCUUUUAUCAUGAAAAAUUGCUUUCCUUCCUACUUUGUUGCUUAUCUUUUAGUCAGUUAUUAAUGCUUGAAGGCUGUUGCCUUUUAUCUGCAACAGCUAUACUUGUUUAAGAGCCUUUGAGAUAUCUUGACAUGACUCUCUGAAAAUCUGAGUUUACUUUUAUUCUUGUCCACAUGCUGUAUGACUCGUUCAA
Gymnogyps californianus (California condor) is the source of this 1681-nucleotide long non-coding RNA. RefSeq lists it as uncharacterized. NCBI's taxonomy places the organism in Eukaryota, Metazoa, Chordata, Aves, Accipitriformes, Cathartidae. The transcript is spliced from 3 exons. The record is from RefSeq and is a predicted model, not a curated record.